RNAcentral lists this long non-coding RNA (2774 nucleotides) under Anthonomus grandis grandis. RNAcentral's name for it is "uncharacterized LOC126748594". Lineage: Eukaryota; Metazoa; Arthropoda; Insecta; Coleoptera; Curculionidae. The record is from RNAcentral.
CGUUCAUCGCGCAUUUAGCAUUUACCCAUUUGUGUUCGUUGUUUGAUUGCAUCAGCGUCAGCCGGCAGUUGACAGCUGAUAAAUAUUUGCAUUUGUUUAUUGUUUCGUUUUGGAAUUAAGUUUAGGAUUUAUGCAAUAAUAUUUUAGAAUAAAAAUUAAUAACUAUGUUUGUACAAACAAUUGGUGAUAGUUCUUUGCCAGGGGAAUAUAAGAACGUUAUAUUGUGCUAAGACGUAAACAAAGUUCAAAUUCGGAGCAAUUUAAAAACCAUGAGCGAUAUAGAUAACUGGGUUUACUUCUUUGGAAGAAAUUCAAAUACACAAUCGAACUCUAAAUCAUCUUGUCCAGAGGGGAAACAAAUUGUUUGUUCGAAGAAAUUUGUAUGCCAUCACAGUCCCUUUAUGAAGGUCGAAGCCAAUAAAAAUAAACGAGGACUCUCAAAAAAUGCGAAUUGUCAAGCUUCUAUUUUCAUAAAAGUAAAAUUGGACACUGUUUACACAAGAUAAAGGGAUGCAUUUGUUAAGAAAGGAAUGCAAGCUGUGAUUUUAAUAGAAAAUGGGCAUAGUCAUACUCUUGAAACAGCAGAGACCGUUCGUUUUUUGCAACCGCCAUCAGAAACAAGAGACUUGUUUUUCGAAUACUUUAAUGAUCGAAUGACAAUUUCCGAAGCAAAGAAAUUCCACGAAAAAUUAUAUGAAUUUAAUCCAGAUAAAGAAUUGGCUUUAGCAAGCAGAAGUAAAAACCCUACUUAUAGAACAGUUCAGUAUUGGUAUCAUGCUUGGAGAAAUUUAAAUUUAGGGCCAAGAACAGGCGAUCAGUUAAUGGAGAAAUUGAAAGAAAAGCAAAUAAUAUACAAAGAAAAGGGCACUGAAAUCAGAUUUUCUGAAGAUUUGUUUGUUGUAGCAAUCAUUACACCGGUUAUGGCAAGGGGACAUGCAUCCCAGUUUUCUAAAGAAAUUUGCUUUGUGGAUAGCAUAAGUGCCUGCGAUGCAGAACAACACUCCAUUACCUUUGUUAUGGCUCCAUCUGCUGCAGGAGCAGUACCUCUAGGUAUAAUUAUAACGAGAGGUCAAACAUAUGAAGCCUAUUGCAGGGGGUUUCAGCUUUUGCAAGAUAUUGUGUCUAAUACUUUUAACCCAAAAUAUUUUUAACUGACAAUUCUGAUGCAGAAAUAUCUGCUUUAAAGACUUUUUUUCCAAAUAGUGUCAGCUUGCUUUGCAUUUUUCAUGUACUCCAAGCCAUUUGGAGAUGGUUGUGGAAUUCUAAACAUGGCAUUGCCAAAGAAAACCGUCAAGAACUCAUGGAAAAUUUUCGAAAAAUUUUAUAUUCUCGUACGGAAGUUGAUGCGCUUGAUGCAUUUUGUUAUUGUAUUAAUAAUGCUAAAAACUAUGAAAACUGAAUAAAUUAUGUCAAAAGUUACUGGGAUAUCAAAGAAAAAUGUUGCUUGGCAUGGCGCAAUAGUGACACGAAAGAGCAUCAUUAUCUCUUUAAAGAUAACGUUUUAUGUAGAGUUAAAGCAUACAAUGUUAUUGCUCUAAAGAUGUUAUAAGUUCAGUUCUUGAAGAAUUCUAUCAACGGAAACUCAAAGAAUUUGCUAAUAGUCGAUCCUCAAAUAUAUUUUUAAGUUUAUUUUUUAAAUUUGGUUAAAAAAACUAGCUAUGUUCAGAAGUCAGACAUAAUUUGUUUAAAUGAAAUUUAUUUUAAGGUUCCCAGCGAAAAAAAUAAAUCUGAAUUUUAUAUUGUUAAUGUUGAACAAGGUUGCUGUUCCUGUAUUCAAGGUAUUAAUGGAAAAUUUUGUAAACAUCAGUGUGCUAUAUAUAUUUUUCUUGAAACAAAAACUGUAUCUUUUCCUAAAAUAACUAUGAUAGAUAGAUAUAAUAUUGCUAAACUUGCUCUUGGAGAUGAUGCUCCACAAAUGUCAUUUUAUGAACCUUUCAUUGAUAAUAAUAAUGACCCUCAUUUAUCUUGCAAAAUUAGCACAGACACAGAUAUUUGUAUUAAGAACGAAUCUCAGGCAAGAACUGACCUUGUGCAUACUAACAAAAUUUCCACCCAAAUCAUGUCUUCAGCUUUGAUUGAAAACGAUAAUAAUGAUAAUAUAAUUGCAGACAUUUUUGAGAUGAUGCAAUCAUAUCAUACUUGUUUUGGUUCCUCCACAAGUGGUCUUAAAAUAUUGAAAGAUAGAUUAAGCGCAAUAAAAAGUGAGAGCCAAUGGGAAACUUUUAUCCAUACAACUGAUAAUACUGGAUCCAUACGGAAAAGAGCAAACGCGACCAUUAAAGUUCAGCCCACUUCAUUAAGCCAUAGAGCACCUGGAGUAACUCGGGGAAGUAAACGUUUGCCAUCAGGAAAAAGGUUUAAAAGCGAAAGAGAAAACAAAACAAAACGUAGAAUAAAAUUUAGGUUUAAACAUUAAAUUUAAUCAGCCCAAUGCGACAUCGCAUGGAUUUAACCAUUAGAUCGUAUAUUUGUACAAAACAAAAUUGGAAAAUCAACCAGUUUUCUAACUUUUAGUUUAGUAUUAAUUUAGUUAAUACUGUAAGCGACGAAUAAUUAUCGAGAUAGGAUGGAGAGCAUUUGGAGAGCUUUAGCUUUAUUACUUAUUAGUUAAUUAAAUACGCUGUACACAGAGCUUAAACCCAAAAAAUAGUCUAAAACAUUAUCUAUUAUUUGUUAUAAAUAAUAGACAUAUUAUAUCGAAAUAUUUUUGAAAUACUUUUGCAAGAUUCAUUUAUUGAUCUGAACAAAUUACAUACAUUUGCUUUCAUAAAUGG